Molecule: long non-coding RNA, 360 nt
Organism: Passer domesticus (house sparrow)
Lineage: Eukaryota; Metazoa; Chordata; Aves; Passeriformes; Passeridae
Exons: 3
Source: RefSeq, a predicted model, not a curated record
GUGAACAUUUCCAGACACACCUUAUGUCACUGAGAGUUUGAUUUGGAUGUGUAAAAGCAUGUAAUUCUAAACAUUCCUCAAAAUAGGCAAUAAAGUCAUGAGACAAAUACUGAACAUGAAGAAUAAGUUUCUUAGUCCCAACAAGGAUUGUGAUGUUGAAAUGAGCAAAGUGAUCAAUGAAAGCAAAGACAUAGAAGAAAAAUCAUCACAUCUGAAAUGAAAUUAAUUCAAAGACUACAAAAUAUUCUAAGCCAAUAGUCCAGAUAACCUUCACUGCAGAAUUCUGAAGAAAUUAAUACAUAUAUCUGAAGAGACUAGAACAAUAAUUUUUAGUAAGUAUAUCAGUUUCAAAUGGAAAGA